AAUGGGGGAAACCCUGAUGCAGCGAUGCCGCGUGAGUGAAGAAGGCCUUUGGGUUGUAAAACUCUUUCGUCGGGGAAGAAAAUGACUGUACCCGAAUAAGAAGGUCCGGCUAACUUCGUGCCAGCAGCCGCGGUAAUACGAAGGGACCUAGCGUAGUUCGGAAUUACUGGGCUUAAAGAGCUCGUAGGUGGUUAAAAAAGUUGAUGGUGAAAUCCCAAGGCUCAACCUUGGAACUGCCAUCAAAACUUUUUAGCUAGAGUGUGAUAGAGGAAAGUGGAAUUUCUAGUGUAGAGGUGAAAUUCGUAGAUAUUAGAAAGAACACCAAAUGCGAAGGCAACUUUCUGGGUCACUACUGACACUGAGGAGCGAAAGCAUGGGUAGCGAAGAGGAUU
This 392-nucleotide ribosomal RNA is filed under the name uncultured Gammaproteobacteria bacterium. Its description in RNAcentral is "bacterial SSU rRNA". It matches the Rfam family "Bacterial small subunit ribosomal RNA", at positions 370 to 779 of the family's 1533-position model. The record is from RNAcentral. Lineage: Bacteria; Pseudomonadati; Pseudomonadota; Gammaproteobacteria.